Molecule: unclassified non-coding RNA, 332 nt
Filed under: soil metagenome
Description: partial contains 5.8S ribosomal RNA, internal transcribed spacer 2, and large subunit ribosomal RNA
Rfam family: 5.8S ribosomal RNA (bases 1-120)
Source: RNAcentral
GAUGAAGAACGUAGCGAAAUGCGAUUAGUAGUGUGAAUUGCAGAAUUCAGUGAAUCAUCGAAUCUUUGAACGCACAUUGCGCCCUUUGGUAUUCCUUAGGGCAUGCCUGUUCGAGCGUCAUUUAAACCUUCAAGCUAAGCUUGGUGUUGGGUGACUGUCCGCUUCACGGCGGACUCGCCUCAAAAUUAUUGGCGGCCGGUACAUUGGCUUCGAGCGCAGCAGAAACGCGAACUCGGGCCCGUCGUAUUGGCUCCCAGAAGCUAUCUUCACAAUUUUGACCUCGGAUCAGGUAGGGAUACCCGCUGAACUUAAGCAUAUCAAUAAGCGGAGGA